GAUGAACGCUAGCUACAGGCUUAACACAUGCAAGUCGAGGGGCAUCAGGAAGAAAGCUUGCUUUCUUUGCUGGCGACCGGCGCACGGGUGAGUAACACGUAUCCAACCUGCCCUUUACUCGGGGAUAGCCUUUCGAAAGAAAGAUUAAUACCCGAUAGCAUAAUGAUUCCGCAUGGUUUCAUUAUUAAAGGAUUCCGGUAAAGGAUGGGGAUGCGUUCCAUUAGGUUGUUGGUGAGGUAACGGCUCACCAAGCCUUCGAUGGAUAGGGGUUCUGAGAGGAAGGUCCCCCACAUUGGAACUGAGACACGGUCCAAACUCCUACGGGAGGCAGCAGUGAGGAAUAUUGGUCAAUGGGCGCUAGCCUGAACCAGCCAAGUAGCGUGAAGGAUGAAGGCUCUAUGGGUCGUAAACUUCUUUUAUAUAAGAAUAAAGUGCAGUAUGUAUACUGUUUUGUAUGUAUUAUAUGAAUAAGGAUCGGCUAACUCCGUGCCAGCAGCCGCGGUAAUACGGAGGAUCCGAGCGUUAUCCGGAUUUAUUGGGUUUAAAGGGAGCGUAGGUGGACUGGUAAGUCAGUUGUGAAAGUUUGCGGCUCAACCGUAAAAUUGCAGUUGAUACUGUCAGUCUUGAGUACAGUAGAGGUGGGCGGAAUUCGUGGUGUAGCGGUGAAAUGCUUAGAUAUCACGAAGAACUCCGAUUGCGAAGGCAGCUCACUGGACUGCAACUGACACUGAUGCUCGAAAGUGUGGGUAUCAAACAGGAUUAGAUACCCUGGUAGUCCACACAGUAAACGAUGAAUACUCGCUGUUUGCGAUAUACAGUAAGCGGCCAAGCGAAAGCAUUAAGUAUUCCACCUGGGGAGUACGCCGGCAACGGUGAAACUCAAAGGAAUUGACGGGGGCCCGCACAAGCGGAGGAACAUGUGGUUUAAUUCGAUGAUACGCGAGGAACCUUACCCGGGCUUAAAUUGCAGUGGAAUGAUGUGGAAACAUGUCAGUGAGCAAUCACCGCUGUGAAGGUGCUGCAUGGUUGUCGUCAGCUCGUGCCGUGAGGUGUCGGCUUAAGUGCCAUAACGAGCGCAACCCUUAUCUUCAGUUACUAACAGGUCAUGCUGAGGACUCUGGAGAGACUGCCGUCGUAAGAUGUGAGGAAGGUGGGGGUGACGUCAAAUCAGCACGGCCCUUACGUCCGGGGCUACACACGUGUUACAAUGGGGGGUACAGAAGGCAGCUAGCGGGUGACCGUAUGCUAAUCCCAAAAUCCUCUCUCAGUUCGGAUCGAAGUCUGCAACCCGACUUCGUGAAGCUGGAUUCGCUAGUAAUCGCGCAUCAGCCACGGCGCGGUGAAUACGUUCCCGGGCCU
RNAcentral lists this ribosomal RNA (1359 nucleotides) under uncultured bacterium. Its description in RNAcentral is "bacterial SSU rRNA". It matches the Rfam family "Bacterial small subunit ribosomal RNA", at positions 28 to 1381 of the family's 1533-position model. The record is from RNAcentral.